This 465-nucleotide ribosomal RNA is filed under the name Vreelandella stevensii. RNAcentral's name for it is "partial 16S ribosomal RNA". It matches the Rfam family "Bacterial small subunit ribosomal RNA", at positions 338 to 795 of the family's 1533-position model. The record is from RNAcentral. Lineage: Bacteria; Pseudomonadati; Pseudomonadota; Gammaproteobacteria; Oceanospirillales; Halomonadaceae.
CCUACGGGGGGCUGCAGUGGGGAAUAUUGGACAAUGGGGGCAACCCUGAUCCAGCCAUGCCGCGUGUGUGAAGAAGGCCCUCGGGUUGUAAAGCACUUUCAGUGAGGAAGAACGCCUGGUGGUUAAUACCCAUCAGGAAAGACAUCACUCACAGAAGAAGCACCGUCUAACUCCGUGCCAGCAGCCGCGGUAAUACGGAGGGUGCGAGCGUUAAUCGGAAUUACUGGGCGUAAAGCGCGCGUAGGUGGCUUGAUAAGCCGGUUGUGAAAGCCCCGGGCUCAACCUGGGAACGGCAUCCGGAACUGUCAAGCUAGAGUGCAGGAGAGGAAGGUAGAAUUCCCGGUGUAGCGGUGAAAUGCGUAGAGAUCGGGAGGAAUACCAGUGGCGAAGGCGGCCUUCUGGACUGACACUGACACUGAGGUGCGAAAGCGUGGGUAGCAAACAGGAUUAGAUACCCUUGUAGUC